AAUUAUGUUUUUUUUUAUGAGCCUGAUUCGCUGUCAUAUGCCAAUUUGUCUUCAUCCAAAAGUUAUAAUCAUUUUAUCGGAUUUAAAUUUUUUAGAAAUUUUACAUAUCAAACGCAAACUCUUAAAUGAAGAUAACAUUAACACGUGCCAGCAGAUUGAAGAGUCUCUAUCCAUAUGUUAUUUGGGAGCUCUUCACUAAAAUUUUAUCCAGA
This 212-nucleotide long non-coding RNA is filed under the name Ananas comosus (pineapple). RNAcentral's name for it is "long non-coding RNA (ACOM_LNC018558)". Lineage: Eukaryota; Viridiplantae; Streptophyta; Magnoliopsida; Poales; Bromeliaceae. The record is from RNAcentral.